Molecule: long non-coding RNA, 1557 nt
Filed under: Equus asinus (donkey)
Lineage: Eukaryota; Metazoa; Chordata; Mammalia; Perissodactyla; Equidae
Description: lncRNA (ENSEASG00005027942.1)
Source: RNAcentral
AGCUGAGCCCUGGCAGCUAGAACAGAGACUGGCCCACAGUUGGCCCACUUGAAAUAUGUUUGAUGAAUACGUGAAUGAAUGAAUCAAUCAGUGAGUGGACUUUGGUUAGGAUUAUCAGAUUUAGCAAACAAAUAUGCCCAGAAUUUGAAUGCAGACACUUCAGAGAGAGGCAUCCAAACAGAGAAGGCAUACAUGAGUCUGGAGAAGCUACAUCUAAGCAAAAUCCUUGAGCUGGAGAGGAGGAUGAGACAGGACAAGCCACAGUGCAGGUGGAACCACAACAGAGGAAGCUGAAGCCCAUACAGAGACUGAGGCCCUGGAAUAGAUCAAUCUGAGGAUCCUUGUUACUAAGAAAAUGGAAACUGGGCCAAAAAUAUAAACGAUGCCCCUUUGCAGAAUCCUAAAGGAAACAGAGAAACUGGCAACAAUGGACAAGCCACUCUCAUGGGCUCCUUUUUCCCAGAGAGAACAAUGACAUCACCUAAGAAGUGUCUUCCACACUUGGAAAAUCUAGGGUUUUCCAUAAGAAAUGUAAGACUGUCUUAUCAGUGUUCAUCGAUCUAUCCUUAAACACACAUUCAUAGUGUCAUUAUUAUGUGAUAGUGAUGUCCUUAAAAAUACUGACUUCUGUAGGAAUAGACUCUAAAAAGUGGAUUGUGAGGAAAACAAGUGAAUGUAACACCCCUGGUAAGUUCAGUAAAGUUCUUCAAAGGUCCCUCCCCUAUUUGAGUUACCUUAUUUUCAUAUAGAUCUUAUACAUAUUUUUCUAGAAUUAUACCCUAAGUAUUUCAUUUCUUUGGUGCUAAUGUUAAUGGCAUUUUAAUUUAUAAUUUCAAAUUCCUAUUGUUCAUUGCUGGUAUAUAAAAAAGUGAUUGACUUUUGUAUAUUACUGUUGUAUCCUGCAACCUUGAUUUAAUCAUUUAUUAGUUCCAGGAGUUUUUUGUUGUUUUUAUUGUUGACUCUUUGGGUCUUUCUACAUAGAUAAUCAUAUCAUCUGAGAUCAAAGACAGUUUUAUUUCUUUCUUCCCAGUCUGUGUACCUCUUAUUUCUUUUCUUAUUGCAUCAGCUAGGACUUCCAAUGCAAUGUUGAAUAGGAGUAGUGAGAAGGAAAAUCCUUCCCUUAUUCCUGAUCUUAGAGGAAAAACAUCUAGCUUCUUUCCCUGAAGUAUAAUGUUGGCUGUAUGUUUUUUGUAGAUAUGCUUUAUCAAGUUGAGGAAGUUCACCUCUAUUCCUAGUUUUCUGGCAGUUUUUAUCACAGAUUAGCGUUGAAUUUGUUAAAUGUUUUUUCUGCUUCUAUUAAUAUGAAAAUGUAAAUUUUCUCCUUUAGCCUGUUGAUGUGAUGGGUUAAUUGAUUUUCAAAUGUUGAGCCAGUCUUGCAUACCAGGAAUAAAUACCAUUUGGUCACAGCAUAUAAUUCUUUUCAUACAUUGUUGAAUUCAAUUUGCUAAUAUUUUGUUGGGGAGUUUUGCAUCCAUGUUCAUGAGAGAUAUUGGUCUGUGGUUUUCCUUUCUUGUAAUAUCUUUAUCUUAUUUUGGUAUUAGGGUAAUGUUGUCAUCA